AUGAUCUUAGAGGUCUUUUCCAACUUUGAAGAUUCUGUUAUUGUACGGACCACUGGCGAGAGGCAGCCACGGGGCUGGGGGACUCGGCAGGGACACUCUCCCUGCUCCUGCCCCGCGCCCGUGCCCUGCCCUGCUACCUUCUACCCUUCCCUCUACCCUUCGCUCCUGGGGGCAGACCGAAGCGCUAAGGAAACGAACAGCCCAGUGUUGGUCGUUUCUUUAGCGGCUUUAGCCCUGCACAGAGCGCACUUCGCGGCGGGGCGGCGGGGCCGUGAGGGCCCGGGCCGGGCGCACCGCCUGCGGAGCGGCCGAGCCGCCACGAGAUGGCGCACGAGGAGCGGCCAGGCCGCCCCUCAGCCCCGCGGCCGCCCCCUCAGCCCCGGCGGGCACCGGCGGCAGCUCCCGCCGCCCCCAGGACGGCCCUCAUUUUGCCUUCCCAGGCUUGGCCCUCAUUUGCAAAGUCCUGCUGGCGCCAGAGUUUUCUUGUGUUCAGCCAUGGGCAGGGUUACAGUAAAUGGUUUCCUCUCGCUUCCUUCUGGGAUCCUGUGCCAGGGCAGAAGAUCAGGGAGUUCAUGGUAGAUGCAGUUUGUGUCUGCCUGCAGCCAGGCCAGUCACUGGAGAGCCAGGUUUGGGCACUAAUGGUGCUUCUUCCUAAGGAUGACAUGAAAUUGCACCACAGCUUCUGCCUACUGAAGGAAAAAUUCACCUUGAAGCACCCAAAAUACUGUCUCCUGUGAGAUAUCCCUUGGCUGACGUGCCUCCAGCCCCAGACAAGGAGGUGAUGAUGGCUGUGCUGUGUCCCAGGACGUGGUGGCUGUACACAUAGGAAACCACAGCCUUGGGUGUUCAGGUGUUGCUCGCAGACCAAGUGUGGCUGGG
RNAcentral lists this long non-coding RNA (879 nucleotides) under Manacus vitellinus (golden-collared manakin). RNAcentral describes it as "lncRNA (ENSMVIG00005005239.1)". The record is from RNAcentral. Lineage: Eukaryota; Metazoa; Chordata; Aves; Passeriformes; Pipridae.